Molecule: ribosomal RNA, 253 nt
Filed under: uncultured bacterium
Lineage: Bacteria
Description: partial 16S ribosomal RNA
Rfam family: Bacterial small subunit ribosomal RNA
Source: RNAcentral
UACGAAGGGGGCUAGCGUUGUUCGGAUUUACUGGGCGUAAAGCGCACGUAGGCGGAUCGUUAAGUCGGGGGUGAAAUCCUGGAGCUCAACUCCAGAACUGCCUUCGAUACUGGCGAUCUUGAGUCCGGAAGAGGUGAGUGGAACUCCUAGUGUAGAGGUGGAAUUCGUAGAUAUUAGGAAGAACACCCGUGGCGAAGGCGGCUCUCUGGGACGGUACUGACGCUGAGACGCGAAAGCGUGGGGAGCGAACAGG